GAUAACUCAAGAUGGUGAACAUAAUUAAUACACCUUCCUACUCCUAUUUUUCCAACAUCAGCAACCAUCUGAGGAUAUUGGCAUGCUGGCUACUCCCAUAAGAAGUCAAGGUGGUAUACAGAAAUCAAGGAAGAACAGAAGAAAGGCAAUGCAAGCAAAUCCUGAAUCAUUAUAAAACAGUACAUGGAGGACUGAAGUAUUUUAAAAAAAUUCCAAAAAGUAAAAGUGAAACAAAA
Molecule: long non-coding RNA, 236 nt
Organism: Crotalus tigris (Tiger rattlesnake)
Lineage: Eukaryota; Metazoa; Chordata; Lepidosauria; Squamata; Viperidae
Exons: 2
Source: RefSeq, a predicted model, not a curated record